This 253-nucleotide ribosomal RNA is filed under the name uncultured bacterium. RNAcentral describes it as "partial 16S ribosomal RNA". It matches the Rfam family "Bacterial small subunit ribosomal RNA", at positions 524 to 776 of the family's 1533-position model. The record is from RNAcentral.
UACGUAGGGACCGAGCGUUGUCCGGAUUCAUUGGGCGUAAAGAGCUCGUAGGCGGCCACUCAAGUCGAAUGUGAAACCUCGAGGCUUAACCUCGAGCCUGCAUUCGAUACUGGGCGGCUAGAGUCUGGUAGGGGGAUCUGGAAUUCCUGGUGUAGCGGUGGAAUGCGCAGAUAUCAGGAGGAACACCGGUGGCGAAGGCGGGUCUCUGGGCCGAUACUGACGCUGAGGAGCGAAAGCGUGGGGAGCAAACAGG